UGUAUUUAAAUGUUAUCUAGCUUAGUUUAUUUUAUUUUAUUUUCUUAGAUUAAAAAGUAAAUAUAAAUUAGGGUUCUAAUAUUUUCUUCCUACACCCCAAUAGUUCAUCGUGUGCCUCGGACUCAACUGAACUCUAUGCCUAGCAUGGCCUCUUCACUGCCCUAGGCUGCCCAUGCCACUCUGGAAUAGCCUGACUCUGGCUUCAGUGCCUUGUAGCUGUACAUCUUCCAGGAACAGCUACCUGGGAGAUCAGCACCUUUACCUAUGGGCCUCCUGAUCUGAUGUGAUGGAAAUGACCUGUAGAGGCAAUAUUCCCAACAUUUUAAAUAAGAAGUUGAUAAAUUCAACACGGAGAACCUGCUGACAAGGAGGGGGGCUACGGAUAUGAACAAAUAAUUCAAAAUGGAGUGGACACAAAUGAACAAUCAAAUGGUGGAAAUUAAAAAGUCAACUGAGAGAGAGGAGCCAAGAUGGCCAAAUAGGAACAGCUCCGGUCUACAGCUCCCAGCGUGAGUGACGCAGAAGACGGGUGAUUUCUGCAUUUCCAUCUGAG
This 553-nucleotide long non-coding RNA is filed under the name Homo sapiens (human). RNAcentral describes it as "HSALNT0223525". The record is from RNAcentral. Lineage: Eukaryota; Metazoa; Chordata; Mammalia; Primates; Hominidae.